This 497-nucleotide ribosomal RNA is filed under the name uncultured bacterium. RNAcentral's name for it is "partial 16S ribosomal RNA". It matches the Rfam family "Bacterial small subunit ribosomal RNA", at positions 28 to 507 of the family's 1533-position model. The record is from RNAcentral.
GAUGAACGCUGGCGGCGUGCCUAAUACAUGCAAGUCGAGCGAACGGACGAGAAGCUUGCUUUUCUGAUGUUAGCGGCGGACGGGUGAGUAACACGUGGAUAACCUACCUAUAAGACUGGGAUAACUUCGGGAAACCGGAGCUAAUACCGGAUAAUAUUUUGAACCGCAUGGUUCAAAAGUGAAAGACGGUCUUGCUGUCACUUAUAGAUGGAUCCGCGCUGCAUUAGCUAGUUGGUAAGGUAACGGCUUACCAAGGCAACGAUGCAUAGCCGACCUGAGAGGGUGAUCGGCCACACUGGAACUGAGACACGGUCCCGACUCCUACGGGAGGCAGCAGUAGGGAAUCUUCCGCAAUGGGCGAAAGCCUGACGGAGCAACGCCGCGUGGGUGAUGGAGGUCUUCGGAUCGUAAAACUCUGUUAUUAGGGAAGAACAUAUGUGUAAGUAACUGUGCACAUCUUGACGGUACCUAAUCAGAAAGCCACGGCUAACUACGUG